Molecule: long non-coding RNA, 407 nt
Filed under: Manihot esculenta (cassava)
Lineage: Eukaryota; Viridiplantae; Streptophyta; Magnoliopsida; Malpighiales; Euphorbiaceae
Description: long non-coding RNA (MESC_LNC009755)
Source: RNAcentral
AGAAAUAACCGCAGCAAUAAUGUCAUCUCCUUCAACUAAAUUCACUUUUGGUUUAGGAGGAUUGUCAUUUAUCACUCUUUUCCUGUACUGGGGUGCAUCAUGACCCGGCUUACCACAUACAAGACAAUAUCCUUUCCUUUUAAAGAUGGGAUUAUUAAACUUGAGUUUGUAAUCAGAUUUCUUAUUUUCAUACCUGUUAUUUGAUUUGUGCACUUUUUCUUUGUACAAGAUUUGCUCUUGUAGCCAACAUCCUCAGCAGUAUAUUUCAAGUUCAUUGAAUCUCAUAAUUUUUUUAAUUGAAUCCCAUAUUUCAUUGAAUCUCAUAUUUCCUUGGCUUCCUUGUAGGAACAGUAGUUAUCAAAGAAAUUGUUAAAAAGAGUACUGAUAAUUGUAUGCCUACAUACCUU